This 517-nucleotide long non-coding RNA is filed under the name Prunus persica (peach). RNAcentral's name for it is "long non-coding RNA (PPER_LNC002276)". The record is from RNAcentral. Lineage: Eukaryota; Viridiplantae; Streptophyta; Magnoliopsida; Rosales; Rosaceae.
GACCAAUACUCUUCCCAUGGGAGACAAGGAAGAAACCCUAGCCGUCAAGAUUUUUCUCUCCUCGUAUAAACGAGAGAGCGACCUUUGCCGUCUAACUAAUUAAGUAGCAUCCUUUUUAAUUGUUAAAAUGAUACUUUUAUUCCACUUUUAUUAUUGUUAAUUGAACAAAUUUCUUUGGACAAUGAUUCCUUCCUUGCCCAUAAGGAGGAAUUUCUUAUUCCCUUUUAUUGUGACUCAACUACAAAGUGACAUGUGCCCGCUUUUUAAGUUGUCAAAUAUUUUUUUAUUAUUAUGUUGGCAUCAACUCUCGAAAGUGCUCUUUUUUUUUUCUCCACUAAUUUUCUUUUUCUUUUUAUUUUCCUUCCUUAGUCAAAAUUUGAAGUCUUUGUUGCUCUUUCCAACUCUAACAUCGAUAAUCCCCUACAACCAAAGUUGUCACUAAUAACAUUGCUAGAUGGCUCAUUACUUAACUGGGUUUCCCAUUAACAUGCAUUGCAAUUAACCAAUUAAACAAAAC